Molecule: small nucleolar RNA, 142 nt
Organism: Phyllostomus hastatus (greater spear-nosed bat)
Lineage: Eukaryota; Metazoa; Chordata; Mammalia; Chiroptera; Phyllostomidae
Product: small nucleolar RNA SNORA4
Exons: 1
Source: RefSeq, a predicted model, not a curated record
AUACCAAAAGUGUUUUUUAGGGGAAGGGUUUUCUAAUAACCUUUACCAACUUGGGCUUUUUGGGAUAAUAAAUGAAGACCAUACUCCACCAUUGGGCUAUGUCACUAAACAUAUAGUUCACUACUAUUUUGUGGCCUAUGUU